AGAGUUUGAUUCUGGCUCAGAUUGAACGCUGGCGGCGUGCUUAACACAUGCAAGUCGCGCGUGAAAGGACUUCGGUCCGAGUAAAGCGGCGCACGGGUGAGUAACGCGUGGAUGAUCUACCCAUGAGUUAGGAAUAACGGCUGGAAACGGUCGCUAAUACCAAAUACGCUCCGAUUUCAACUUCGGGGGAAAGGUGGCCUCUGCUUGCAAGCUACUGCUCAUGGAUGAGUCCGCGUCCCAUUAGCUAGUUGGUGGGGUAACGGCCCACCAAGGCGACGAUGGGUAGCCGGUCUGAGAGGAUGACCGGCCACACUGGGACUGGAACACGGCCCAGACUCCUACGGGAGGCAGCAGUGGGGAAUAUUGCGCAAUGGGCGAAAGCCUGACGCAGCGACGCCGCGUGAGGGAUGAAGGUCCUCGGAUCGUAAACCUCUGUCAGGAGGGAAGAACCGCCACGGUGCUAAUCAGCCGUGGUCUGACGGUACCUCCAAAGGAAGCACCGGCUAACUCCGUGCCAGCCGCCGC
Molecule: ribosomal RNA, 525 nt
Filed under: uncultured bacterium
Lineage: Bacteria
Description: bacterial SSU rRNA
Rfam family: Bacterial small subunit ribosomal RNA
Source: RNAcentral